CAUUUCCUUUUGAUUUUAUUUAAGGUCUGGCCUGCUCGAUGAUGUUUAAAUUGCCGCAGUAUAUUAACUGUGCAAAGGUAGCGUAAUAAUUAGUCUCUUAAUUAGGGGCUUGUAUGAAAGGUUGAACAAGAAAGUUUCUGUCUCUUUCUAAUUUUUGAUGAAUUUUAUUUUUAAGUUAAAAAGCUUAAAUUAUUUUAAAAGACGAGAAGACCCUAUAGAGUUUUAUAAUUUUUUUUCUAUCUUUUGUUAGUAAGUGGUAUAGGUAAAAUUUAUUUAGUUGGGGUGACUUGGAAAUUAAAUCAAUUUUCUAAAUUAUUAAUUAAUGAUUUUUAAUUGUUUUAUCUGGAAGUUUCAAAUUUAAAUUAAAUUACCUUAGGGAUAACAGCGUAAUUUUUUUUGAAAGUUCAUAUUUAAAAAAAAGUUUGCGACCUCGAUGUUGGAUUAAAAUUAAUUUUUGGCGCAGUAGCUUUAUGAUUUGGUCUGUUCGACCUUUAAUGUUUUACAUGAUCUGAGUUUAGACCGGCGUGAGCCAGGUUAGAUUCUAUCUUUAAUUUUAUUUUUUAUUUUAGUACGAAAGGACCAAUUAGGAGUUAAAUUAAUUG
This 602-nucleotide ribosomal RNA is filed under the name Dilophotes sp. A LB-2014. Its description in RNAcentral is "partial 16S ribosomal RNA". It matches the Rfam family "Archaeal large subunit ribosomal RNA", at positions 1906 to 2784 of the family's 2987-position model. Lineage: Eukaryota; Metazoa; Arthropoda; Insecta; Coleoptera; Lycidae. The record is from RNAcentral.